UGGCGGACGGGUGAGUAACGCGUGGGCAACCUGCCUUACACAGGGGGACAACAGCCGGAAACGGCUGCUAAUACCGCAUAAGCGCACAGUUUCGCAUGGGACAGUGUGAAAAACUCCGGUGGUGUAAGAUGGGCCCGCGUCUGAUUAGCUUGUUGGCGGGGUAACGGCCCACCAAGGCAACGAUCAGUAGCCGACCUGAGAGGGUGACCGGCCACAUUGGGACUGAGACACGGCCCAAACUCCUACGGGAGGCAGCAG
This 258-nucleotide ribosomal RNA is filed under the name uncultured bacterium. Its description in RNAcentral is "partial 16S ribosomal RNA". It matches the Rfam family "Bacterial small subunit ribosomal RNA", at positions 96 to 354 of the family's 1533-position model. The record is from RNAcentral.